GAUGAACGCUGGCGGCGUGCCUAAUACAUGCAAGUCGAGCGAACAGACGAGGAGCUUGCUCCUCUGACGUUAGCGGCGGACGGGUGAGUAACACGUGGAUAAUCUACCUAUAAGACUGGGAUAACUUCGGGAAACCGGAGCUAAUACCGGAUAAUAUAUUGAACCGCAUGGUUCAAUAGUGAAAGACGGUUUUGCUGUCACUUAUAGAUGGAUCCGCGCCGCAUUAGCUAGUUGGUAAGGUAACGGCUUACCAAGGCAACGAUGCGUAGCCGACCUGUGAGGGGGAUCGGCCACACGGGAACUGGGACACGGUCCAGGCUCCUACGGGAGGCAGCAGUAGGGAAUCUUCCGCAGUGGGCGAAAGCCUGACGGAACAACGCCGCGUGAGUGAUGAAGGUCUUCGGAUCGUAAAACUCUGUUAUUGGGGAAAAACAAAUGUGUAAGUAACUAUGCACGUCUUGACGGUACCUAAUCAGAAAGCCACGGCUAACUACGUG
This 497-nucleotide ribosomal RNA is filed under the name uncultured bacterium. Its description in RNAcentral is "partial 16S ribosomal RNA". It matches the Rfam family "Bacterial small subunit ribosomal RNA", at positions 28 to 507 of the family's 1533-position model. The record is from RNAcentral.